RNAcentral lists this ribosomal RNA (429 nucleotides) under Actinomycetes bacterium. RNAcentral describes it as "Actinobacteria bacterium partial 16S ribosomal RNA". It matches the Rfam family "Bacterial small subunit ribosomal RNA", at positions 355 to 776 of the family's 1533-position model. Lineage: Bacteria; Bacillati; Actinomycetota; Actinomycetes. The record is from RNAcentral.
UAGGGAAUCUUCCGCAAUGGGCGAAAGCCUGACGGAGCAACGCCGCGUGAGUGAUGAAGGUCUUCGAAUCGUAAAACUCUGUUAUUAGGGAAGAACAAAUGUGUAAGUAACUAUGCACGUCUUGACGGUACCUAAUCAGAAAGCCACGGCUAACUACGUGCCAGCAGCCGCGGUAAUACGUAGGUGGCAAGCGUUAUCCGGAAUUAUUGGGCGUAAAGCGCGCGUAGGCGGUUUUUUAAGUCUGAUGUGAAAGCCCACGGCUCAACCGUGGAGGGUCAUUGGAAACUGGAAAACUUGAGUGCAGAAGAGGAAAGUGGAAUUCCAUGUGUAGCGGUGAAAUGCGCAGAGAUAUGGAGGAACACCAGUGGCGAAGGCGACUUUCUGGUCUGUAACUGACGCUGAUGUGCGAAAGCGUGGGGAUCAAACAGG